CCUACGGGCGGCAGCAGUGGGGAAUAUUGCACAAUGGGGGAAACCCUGAUGCAGCGACGCCGCGUGAGUGAAGAAGUAUUUCGGUAUGUAAAGCUCUGUCAGCAGGGAAGAAAAUGACGGUGCGUGACUAAGAAGCACCGGCGAACUACGUUCCAGCAGCCGCGGUGAUACGUAGGGGCCAAGUGUUAUCCGGAUUUACUGGGUGUAAAGGGAGCGUAGACGGCCAGACAAGUCAGAAGUGAAAGGCCAGGGCUCAAACCUGGGAAUGCUUUUGAAACUGCCGGGCUUGAGUGCAGGAGAGGUAAGCGGAAUUCCAAGUGUAGCGGUGAAAUGCGUAGAUAUUAGGAGGAACACCAGUGGCGAAGGCGGCUUACUGGACUGUAACUGACGUUGAGGCUCGAAAGCGUGGGGAGCAAACAGGAUUAGAUACCCCAGUAGUC
This 440-nucleotide ribosomal RNA is filed under the name uncultured bacterium. RNAcentral describes it as "partial 16S ribosomal RNA". It matches the Rfam family "Bacterial small subunit ribosomal RNA", at positions 338 to 795 of the family's 1533-position model. The record is from RNAcentral.